Molecule: long non-coding RNA, 1123 nt
Organism: Bolinopsis microptera
Lineage: Eukaryota; Metazoa; Ctenophora; Tentaculata; Lobata; Bolinopsidae
Exons: 3
Source: RefSeq, a predicted model, not a curated record
AUAUCAAUAUAAUCUUUCAGACUGAAUGGACAAUAGGCAAACCAUUGAAUAAGAAAUGCGAAAUGCCUCCUCCUCCUUUUGGCAAAAUGUUAACAAUUGCAACCCCUUAUAUAAUUCUAUAAUGUUUCAGCAUUUUUGCUUAGAAUGGGAUCUUUUUACACCUUCAAGUGUCAGUGGCCAAAUUGUACACUGAAAGCUGAGGCUUUAGAUGAGCUACUUAGUCAUGUUGAAACUAUCCACAUACCCAAAGAACGACACCAAUAUGAUGAUCCUGAACGCAGGCCCUCAGAUCAGCUACCGCUGUCUUGUAUCUACAACUAUUCAACUGGGCCUGUACAGCUACGGUACAAGAGAUCAAGAUCACACGCGGACAAGUCUAUCCGUGACAACUUUUCUGCCAGAGAAAGGGAAUGUACUCAAGAGCAGCUCCAAGACAGGUUCAAUUUUGAUGAGGACGAUUUUGCUACCCAUCAAACUCCUAUCAACGAAGAACAUUUGAUGAAAAUGGACAUAGUGACACAAGAUCAGCGUAGAAUUAAGACUGGGAUAUUAAAAGCUAAUGCUAGAGCACAAGAAAGUCAUAAAUGUCAUUGCGGGAAGUCGUAUAGAAGCAGCAAUGCUUUAAGAAAUCACAUGAUGACAUAUCAUGCAGCUAGAGGCAGUCAGAUAGCCACUGACGAUUCAUGAAUUUAUUAUUGGUUCUGAACAAUUUAUUAUUGGUUCUAAACAUUUUUUUAAACGAUUGUGGAUUGGUGUAACGGGUUGAAAUGACAAGUGUACUUGCCGUGAUUUAUAAUCGGUUAUCUUUAAAUCCUUGUUGUCGGAACCUAUCUACAGUAACAACUAUUAGUUUGGUCUACUGAGAAAUCUUAUAGUAGAUUCAUGAGCAAACAAACAACUAUGAUGACGAAGUAUCUCGCUGUCCUGUCUGUCAAAGAAUUUAUUGUCGAUCUUUAAAUCCUGGCCUUUAAGUCCCUUUCUAUACACGGUUUGGCAAAAAUCCUGGGAUAUUUAUUAUACUGCAGUAAGGGGCUGUAAGGAAAUAAUAAACUAUAUAGCUGUAUAUUAUAUGUAUAUAUGUAUUUUUUAUUUGAAUAGUUUUGCAAUUGAAGUAUUCCAUCAA